RNAcentral lists this long non-coding RNA (1699 nucleotides) under Lupinus angustifolius (narrow-leaved blue lupine). RNAcentral's name for it is "long non-coding RNA (LANG_LNC000278)". Lineage: Eukaryota; Viridiplantae; Streptophyta; Magnoliopsida; Fabales; Fabaceae. The record is from RNAcentral.
AACUCCCCUUUAUAUUCAUUUCAAAUUCGGAACUUCCCUUCAUAUUCAUUUCAAAUCCAGAUGAAGAAUGUAUUCUUUUCAAAUCCAGAUGACUCCUCUUCAUGUUUGUUUCUUGACUUUUCCUUUCACAUUCAUUAUUUAGUUACAAAAUGAGGAACUCUUUCAUCGUUGGUUUGCUUUGGCAUCAUUUGUUUAUAAAACAUGUAACCCAUCUGUCAAGAGAGGCCGAUGCCGUCUAUAACUCUAUAUACAACAUCAUCUCUCCAUUUUUUCAUUUCUUCAUUUCCUUUCGUUGUUUUUUGAAACUAUUUUACUUCCUCUUUUGUUUGCACAAAUUUCUUGAAAAAUCUUUGUCUCUGAGUUUUGAAGGUAAUGUUUAAUGGCUUUAAUAAGUACUAAUUUUUUUUUACUUUUGUGAGUCUCUAUGUUUCAAAGGUAAUGUUUAACAAGUAACAAAUUUUUUUGUGUUGUUAUCUUAUUCUUGCUUUAUUAUUACUUACGAUCUUUGAUGUUAUGUUAGUCUCCGAGUUUGAUGAUCAAUGGCUUUAAUAAGGUACUUUUUUUUUUACUUUUAUAGAUCUCUGAAUUUCUAAGGUAAUGUUUAACAAGUAGCAAAUUUUUUUGUUCUAUUCUCUUACUUUGCUUCAAUAUUAUUAUCAUCUUUGAUGUUAUGUUAGUAUCUGAGUUUGACAGUCAAUGACUUUAAUAAGUACUAUUUUUUAUUUUACUUUUAUGGGUCUCUGAGUUUCGAAGGUAAUGUUUAACAAGUAGCAAACUUUUUUGUUCGGUUCUCUUACUUUUGCUUUACUAUUACUUAUCAUAUUUGAUGUUAUAUUAUUGAUGAAUGUGAAAUAAUGUUACAUUUGUAUUGCAUUUUAUGACAUAAUUAAGACUUAAAGAAUAUUUUUAGCUUUAAUUUCUCUUUGUUCGAGUUGAGCAGAUAUUUUUAGCUAUGUUGUGUAGGUUGGAUGAAUUUAAGUCAGAAAGAGUAGAGAUUUGGUUUGAGAAGAUAAAAGUCGGUAUUAAGGCAAUGCGAAGACCAAUUGAAGGGACAAAAGAGUCACAUUGGAGCCUAGAUCGAAGAGAAGCAACUUGAAGUGAAUGCGUCACACAUGCCCAAGUCGUGCUUGUAUCCAUGGUCGUGUUCCACCACCCACGACCAUACAUAAACACAUGUUUCUAAUCCUAUUUUAUUGAGUGUUGUGAUUUAAAUCAUUAAACUGAGUUUUAUUCGUACGUGUUGUCUUCCCAACAAUUUACACACUUUAGAUACAUUGGGGAAGGACUGAGAGGUGAGCCAAACUAUCCGACUAUUUAGUUAUUCAAACGAGGAUCCUAAGUCACGAGAGUAGUCUUAGGAUUUUCGGAGGUUUCUGAAUUGACCUUGGGUAGCUACGAAACGAUUGGGUAAAAAGAUCCAAGUAAAAUAUUCGAUUGAUAAUCGCACCACGAGAGUAUGUGCAACAUCAAUUGAGUACAUGUGUUGGACUUUGAGAGAUGAUGACACAUAUCAAAGAGAAAUUCAUCUUUACAACGUAAAGUUCAAGAACAUGAGAAAAACAAGGAUUUGCUAGUAUAAAGACGGUAACCAUUAUCUUGAGAACUCUUCCUAAAAUUAGAUUUCAAUCAUUUUUACUGUUUUCAUAAUUAUUCUUGUAAACUGUUCAAUUGUUUUAGAUUCAAUUUUAAUCAUUCUUUG